Long non-coding RNA from Amphiprion ocellaris (clown anemonefish), 5891 nucleotides. NCBI's taxonomy places the organism in Eukaryota, Metazoa, Chordata, Actinopteri, Pomacentridae. The record is from Ensembl.
CUUCAAUACUGUGCAGUGACUGCGUGAGGGAAACCCGCAGAGUUAAUGAUAGCCAUGUGCAACACUGUGAACGGCUCAAUUUUAGGAAAUAGACUAGGGGACAUAAGUUGAAUGUCAUCUUAAAUUGGAUUGGAUAGAGCUACUGUCAAAUGAUCUGUCUUUUUUUAAGUGUUAUAAAAUGGUGGUGAAGAAUAGAGAGCUUUCAGUUAUGGUCUGGUCCUGUGUUCGAGGUCGCCCAUGAACGAUGGAAGCGCGCUCCCGACACUUCAGGUGAAUGAGAGGGAAGCAGAGGAGCGGGACACGGUUCACGGUGCUUCGCAUUAAAAAGGAACAAUUAGAAGAAAAUGAGUUGUGCUACGUCGCUUGGAGCACAUGUUUUUAUGACAGCUUAUCUCCUCUUCGUGGUGGGAUGCGUGGCACAGAAAGUGUACUUUGACUGUGGUGCCAAGGUGGACGUGGUGGACGUCCAAGGCCUCAUUCUGUCUCCUGGCUUUCCUUACAACUACUCCUCUGGGACUCACUGUGUUUGGCAGUUUGUUGUGCCCAUUGAUUACCAGCUUAUUCUGGAAAUAUUUGACUUUGACAUAUUUGAAAGCCAUGACUCUGCACAAUACUCUGCUAUCUCUGAUUUUGAGGAGGAGGAAGUGGAUGAAGAGGAGACUUUUACUCCUGGUAGCGUAGCAGCAGAUGAAACCUCUUCAGAGGGUAAAGAUUCUGUGCUUCAGAGUGCCUCAAAGACUCAGCAGUCCUCCCAAGAUGGUGAGGUCAAGCAAGUUGUGGUCCAGGAACAGUCCACAAAAAUGGAGAUUGCCAAAGUCUCAAAUUCUGCCAAAAGAUCUGCAGAUGCCUCCACUAGUCUCUCUUCUCCACCUUCUCCCUCUCUCCUUCUCCUACCUGGAGAUGUAGCUCCAGGUGACAAGGCUGUCAACUCUGCCUCCUCACCUCACCUAAGGGGAGAUCUCAAUCCUGAUUCUAACCCAAGUACAGCUGUGGAAGAAACCACUCUUGCAUCGCCACACUCCACUGACACUACAGCUGUGAGCCCAGAAACCCAGCAGUCUGUGCUUGACGCCUGCCCCCACGAUGUCCUCUACAUUUCAGACCUCAUCACCUUCUCCUCCAGGUUCUGCGGUUCCAAUCGGCCUCCCAGCAGCCAGCUGGUUUUCGGCUCAAGUCAGGAGAUGGUGGAGGUAAUUAUGGAGCUCAUCACUACCACCCACUGGGGACGUGGUUUCGCUCUUCUCUUCCACUACCACAACCUGACCGAGCCAGGAGGAGACCAACGGGCCAUGGCACCUACGGCCAACAAGGUGGACUCUCUGCUGGCUGCAGUGAGUGGAGCUGCCUUCUUCGCUUUGAUACUCACAAGUGCCCUGUGCAUCAUUUUCAGACCCAAACUGUGUCCAAAGAGAGCCAGCUCCUGCGCAUCCAGCAACUCUGAGGUGCCAGAGGAAGUCCAGAACACCAGGGCCGAGGUCAGUGAGCUGCAGCUGAUGGCUGAGAAUCAAACCAACCUGGAGACGACCACAGAGCAGGACAACAACGGCAGCCCACCACACACAGUCAGUGCUGGAGGUGACGUUUCUCAGAAUGCAGAGGUGGACUUGUCCUGCAGCGGCUUGACUGAACUUGACCUUGGUGCGGAUGAGGUUUUCAUUGUAUCCUCAGCUCCUAGCCCAAGUGGAUUGCCCUUCUCACCUCACACACAGCGGGAGAGGUUUCUGCGACACAGCGACACCGGCCCUGGUCCUUCGGGUGAUUGGUCCUCGCCAGACUCCACCACCUCACCUACUGGUGCCAGGUCCGUCAAGGACAGCAGCAGUGGCUGUGCCAGACCAAGAGCGUGGAGCGUACGCACCUUCCAGGACUUCCUCCCUCCGUUGCCACAGCUUCAUAAGAAGUGGUGCAGCUGGAACUCCACCAGUCCCUUCACCAAGCUUGUGGACAGCGCUCCAUCCAGUUUGGUAGCUGACUGUAGAGCAGGUGACACCAGGAAGGUCUUCUCUGAUGUUCACCUCGAGACUAAUCCAGACACCAGCACCAUCUCUGACUCAUCCAUCAGCAAUGCCUCCUACCCGCUAACGCAGUCUGCCCAAAGGCAGCGCCGUCUCAACUCCACCAGCAACCUGCGACGCUCACGCUUCACAGGGCCUUGCUUCGGCCUGCUCUCUGGGACAGCAGACCUAGCGAAGGCCUCUGGGGUUCUUCGUGCUCCGGGAUCCCCCUCAGAGCCCAGCUCUGGCCCUCCUCCGUCCCCCCAGUGCCAGAUCGAGAGUAACCAGGCUGGAAAGAGGCGCGAUUUCCCAGGUGAGGGUGAUCACAUCAGCGUGCCUGUGUUUGCUAUCUCUGAGGAGGAGGACCGGCAGCCUCUGGUAUCAGCUGAGCACCUGGACCAGACCGCUGCCUCUGCCGUGCUGAAUGGACUGGUUAGGGGGACAUAUGAGGGGAAGAGGCCUGCUGUGGAAAGCACCAGCCUCAGCCCACAGAGGGCCAGAGCAGAGUGGAGGCCAUGGGGGAGCCAGGCGUCUGGAGGGGUUGGUCCACUCCCUUCCAGCGCUCUCACCGAGUCAACCCCAGUCAGUGACAGCCAGCCACCUCUCAGUCUGUCUACAGGGCUGUGCAGUGUGACCAACCAGAUGUGACAAGAUGGUGAAGAGCACGGACUCUGGUGGGCCAGUUAUGCAUUUCUGAACUCUUAGUGUCACUGUGAAAUAUAUAACCUACUUCUUUAAUUUCUGAAAUCAACUUUACAAAAUUAUUACUACAUACUCCGUAGCUCCCUGUUGUCAAAUAUACUUCUCACUUUAGUUUUUCUAUUUUUAUAAAAUUGUGUUUGAACAAAGAAGGAAUAAUAUGCUGCUUAAUAUACCAUGACUGCUGUGGUAUUAUGUGUUUCAAAAAGAAGACUGAUUGCGAACAUGAACAAAAAGUAUUUUGAGUGUGUAGUCCAUAACCCUACUGUUAGGAGCACCUUUAACCAGAUUUAUUAAGUAGUUUGAUGUUAUUCAGAGUUAUAAUACUCCAACCAUUGCACUUUGCUUUCAAUAGCUCUUUCAUUGUGGAUUUCAUGCUCCUUGUUCCAGCAUUCUGCUUUUUCUUUAAUGUGGUUUGUCAUGUGGUAAAUUUAGUACUGGUUAAUACAUGCUUAUUCCAUACAUUUUACCCAAAAGUAUUCUGCAAAGCAUAGAUCAUAUAUUUAUAUCAAUGUUACAUCAUACAGUAUCUAAUCCUAAGACUAAUAGUGGAUUAUAAAAAGGGAAAUCAAAAUAAAAGCAUAUCAAGUACUAAUACACACCAUUAUAUAGUCAAUAGAGAACUAGCACUCAAUGUAGUAUUUAAAAUAAGUUGGUAUAAAUUUAUGUAAAGUUUUAAUAAAGGCAAGUCAUUCACAUCUUGUGUCCUUGAUCUGACAGAAAAUGUUAACUCAUGCUUGAUAGAGAAAUCUGCACCGCUUGUUUUGGCAUGACUGUUUUGUAUAUGCUCCACAUUCAGUGACGCACAUACUCAAUGCAGCCGCCACACAACACGUCAGCUGCAUGUAGGUCAGGCUACGAGUCAAUCAUUUUUGUCCAGUCCACACAUCAUGCUUAAAAGAGCCCCUGUUCUAAACCCUGCAAAUUUUCUUGCAAUUACAGACUCUGAUGAUAAUCAUGACCGUAGUGGUGAUCAGCUGCAGUACGCCGCCUCGUCCAGAUUUGAUGCAGACACCAAUACCCAAUUCUGAUUAGAUUUUGUGCACAGACGGUUCAGCCAGCAGACCCUCUGACGUCACACGUCAUGCUGUGGUCCAUGACUGGGAAAUAGUGGAAGCUGGUGCUCUCCCCCCGAGCACCUCUGCACAGGCUGCUGAGUUGUUUGCGCUUAUCAGGGCCUGCAUUAUCUCCAAGGACAAGGUCUCUACUAUCUACACGGACUCCCGCUAUGCUUUCGGUGCAGCUCAUGACUUUGCACAAAUUUGGAAACAGGGUUUUUGACCUCAUGUGGAAAACCACUCAAACAUCACCAACUGAUCAAUGAUUUGAUUGAUGCAAUUUUCUUACCUACACAAUUGGCUACUGUUACAUGUAGGGUUGCCACCCGUCCCUUAAAAUAGGAAAUCGUCCUUUAUUUGACAAUUAAUUGUUGUGUCCCGUAUUGAAUCAAUACGGGACGCAAAUUGUUCCGUAUUUUCAUAAACGCCCCGUACACGUCUGUCACACAGCCAUCAAAACUGCAUAAGGAACAAAAUAAAACACAGGAAAUACUAAGGGCAGCCAAUUUAAACUUCGUAGGACCCACGUAGCGAGGACCCGAUGCCAGGUCCAGCAGAUCACGCUGCACCCGCGUGUUUAAAAAUGUUUACACCCGAAACUCCACCACGUCCACAGAAGCAAAAACGUUUACAAAUGUACAGACGUGAGUGGGAAGAAUGGAACCCCUGGCAGUGGGUAAAAGGCAAACUGUUCUGUGUUGGUCAUUGACUGGCUGAAGUAAGGCAGCAUCAGGAGACCAACAUGUAAGAAACAUGAGAGCAGAGAGAACCCAACCAGUAGGUCACAGUUUAUCAUCCCCCAGUCAUCUCCUGAAGUCCAUAUGGUGAGAGACAUCAGUAUCUGGUUGUUAAUUUACCAGAGGAUGCUUAUAAUCAUGCUGAUGUGGUCCUAGACUCUACACUGUUUUAGUGAUUCAAUAAAUGCCUAAGUUGUUUUUUUUAAUGCUUUUUAGUUUUUAAUAAAUAUUUAUUUAAUAGCCUAUAUGUAAUCAAUAAAUGACCUUUGCCUAUCUAAAGAAAAACUCACUCAGAACUCUAUGCUAACAGCACUAAAUAAAUCAAUAAAUACAUGCAUACACACAAAAAUAAGUUAAUACAUUAACUGUGUUAAGAUUUACAUUUAGAUGAAAAAAAUGUCUGUAGAGAAUUUCUUUGUCCAGUAUUCUGCAUUCAGUUAUGUUUUUGCAGAAUCCAGUAUUUGACACUGGCUGGUCAUUUUAUUUCAUUAGUAUGGUUUCACUGUUUAAAAUGAGGCCACUUCUGUUCGGACAGAACCUGUGAUCAUAAAACAAUACAAAAUUCUUAGUUUCGUGUUAAUAAAGCACUUAAAGCAUUACGUAUGACUAAAUGCUUUUUUCAGAAUUAAAUAUAUCACUCCUUAGGUGGUAGUGACCCCGAGUUCAGUAAAGUUGGAAAGAUAUUCACAGAUUCAGACUUCUGACAUCAAUAACUUGUUUGAUAUAGGUUGUCAAAACAUAAACAAUGCCUCUUUCCCAUUGUUGUAAGGCAGACAAUGUGCUACAAGCCCAGUUUUAUCAAAAGUAGCUGUCUUUCAAGCUACAGGAAUAACAUUGGUGUCUAUGUGCAGCUGGCUGAGUGACGAAUGCACAGACACUGUCUGCAAAACCGCUGCAACAGCGAAGAGAGACACAAAUAUUCAAUAACUUCAACUUAGGCAUUUAUUGAGUCACUAAAAUACUGUAGAGUACAGACCACAUCAGCAUGAUUAUAAGCAUCCUCUGGUAAAUUAACAACCAGAUACUGAUGUCUCUCACCAUAUGGACUUCAGGAGAUGAUUAGAUGAUGAUAAACUGUGACCUACUGGUUGGGUUCUCUCUGUUCUCAUGUUUCUUACAUGUUUGUCCCCUGACAGCCGGGUCCUAAUGUUUUUUGAGCAACACACAAUACUAUGACAUUUUUACAAUGAUGGUUCUACUAUGGAACCAGUUUGACAUGUUCAGGUGUUCUUUGUGUGAAAACUCAGAGAUUUCAGGUAUCAGAAGGUGGUUUUCAACUUUCUUUGUUAACUUUCUGCUUCAACUUUAAACUAAAUUUCCUUCACUAACCCAGCCCUCUGGACUUCCAGUAAGCUGUGUUCCUAUUGGCUGUCCAGGUGGCUGCUUGGUGUUAUCAGGAACAC